Molecule: non-coding RNA, 11612 nt
Organism: Zonotrichia albicollis (white-throated sparrow)
Lineage: Eukaryota; Metazoa; Chordata; Aves; Passeriformes; Passerellidae
Source: RefSeq, a predicted model, not a curated record
AGAGCAAGCCGUGGCCAUCUGCUUUUAUUCAAAGCCUGACCGGCAGGCUCGCUCUGUCUCCGUGCAUGUGUGUCUCUGCCUCUGCCUCAGCAUGACCUGUUUCUCCUACUCGGAGUAUUUCUCCUUGUUUCAUUCAUGUCAUCGCCACUCCAGAUUGGCCCAGCAGACAGGCCGUGCUCAGCCGUCCGGCUCGGGGGCAGCCUGGGGGGUCAGGCGAAGGUGCGACAGCAGCCAGCUCAGCACAUCCCAGGCCGUAGAAAUUGAUCCUGUAGUGGCAGCAAUCAGGGAUGGAGAUGAAAAAGCAGUAUUCAACAUGAUGAAAUCAGGAAAAAACCUUUCUGUACCUAACAAGGACGGCUGGAUACCCCUCCAUGAAGCUGCAUACUAUGGCCAAGUGGGCUGCCUGAGCCUGUUGCAAAAAGCAUACCCAGGCACCAUCGACCAGCGCACCCUCAAUGAGGAGACAGCUCUGUACCUGGCCACCAGCCGGGGCAACCUGGACUGCCUGCUCACCCUGCUGCAGGCUGGGGCUGAGCCCGACAUCUCCAACAAGGCCAGAGAAACGCCGCUCUACAAAGCUUGUGAGCGCAAGAAUGCAGAGGCUGCAAGACUGCUGGUGCAGUACAAUGCAGAUACCAACCAUCGCUGCAAUCGGGGAUGGACCGCGCUCCAUGAGGCCGUCUCCCGAAACGACCUGGAGAUCAUGGACAUCCUUGUGAAAGGGGGUGCCAAGAUUGAGUCAGCAAAUGCCUACGGGAUCACUUCCUUAUUUGUGGCAGCUGAGAGUGGGCAGUUGGAAGCUUUGAGAUACCUUGCAAGAUGUGGUGCUGAUAUAAACACACAAGCCAGUGAUAACGCCUCUGCUCUUUAUGAAGCCUGUAAAAAUGGACAUGUGCCCAUUGUGGAGUUUCUUUUGUCCCAAGGAGCAGAUGCCAACAAAGCCAAUAAGGAUGGCCUGUUACCUCUUCACAUAGCAGCCAAAAAAGGGAUUUGCGAGAUUGUGUCCAUGCUGAUCCCUGUGACCAGCCGCACCCGUGUCAAGCGCAGCGGCAUCAGCCCCCUGCACCUGGCGGCCGAGCGCAACAACGACGAUAUCCUGGAGGAGCUGAUAGAAGCUGGCUAUGAGGUCAACACCGCCCUCUCUGAUGAACGCUCCUGCCUCUAUGAGGACAGACGCACCACCCCACUCUAUUUUGCUGUUUUUAACAACAACAUCUACGCCACAGAGCUGCUGCUGCAAGCUGGAGCCAACCCCAAUGUUGACCUCAUUAACCCAUUACUCAUCUCCAUCCGCCACGGCUGCCUGAAGACCAUGAAACUGCUUCUUGACCAUGGGGCAAACAUUGAUGCCUAUAUAUCAAGUCAUCCCACCACCUUUCCAGCUACCAUCAUGUUUUCAAUGAAGUACCUUUCUGUGCUGAAGUACCUCCUGGAUCUGGGCUGUGAUGCAGGUUCCUGUUUUGAGUGUCAGUACGGAAAUGGCCCACACCCUGCAUUAAAUUACAGAAGGGAAAGACUGAAUGAUCCCCAGGUGACCAGGGAGCCAGCUGUAGUACAGUUUUGUGAAAUGGUGUCUACUCCAGAGAUAAGUCGCUGGGCUGGGCCGAUCAUCGAUGUUCUUCUGGAUUAUGUGGGAAAUGUGCAGCUCUGUUCCCGGCUCAAGGAGCAUAUUGACAGCUAUGAGGACUGGGCUGUCAUUAAAGAAAAAGCAGAACCCCCACGACCUCUUUCCCACCUUUGCCGCAUCAAGGUCCGGAGCGUGGUUGGAAGGAACCGCAUUAAACUCCUGGACACGCUGCCCCUCCCAGACAGACUGAUCCGCUAUCUACAGCACGACUACUCACAGUGACCCCAGCACACUGCAGUGCAGCAGCUUCCCAGCAUGGCACCCAGCCUCACCACUGUGGCACAGGUGCACAGCAGGGAGGAAUUGCUGCUGGCUUGGUUGAGCACCCCUCUGUGACUAAGAGAAAUGCGCUUUUGAAGCAGGAAUGAGAAGAAAACAAGGAGACAGCUAACAUAGGAGACUGCUGUUAGGUUUUUCAAGAGAAAACACAUACAAUUCACCUCAGACCUUAGUCUGCAAAGAAGAAGGAAUGAAAGCCAAUACUGACAAAUGAGUAGUGCUGAAGCAUGCAUCAGUGAGGAACUCAAAAGUGUCCUGAAGCUGUGGUGGAGUUUAGCAUCCUUGCCGUGGUCACAAUUAAGAACUUGUCAAGAAUCAAUGUGUUUGGGAAAGCAAUCACAUUGCCUUCACUGACUGAGAUUUUUAUUGUAGUUUCUAUUCUAUUGUUUGGAUUUUUGCUAAGUGUGUUGGUAGCUAAUUCUCUGAUAUUUUGACACCACCUUGCUAACACCUUUUUUUCUUUUUUUGUACCUUUCUUAUUAAGUACUUGAUUUAUGAACCUUCAGAUCUCAGAACUCUUUAAUAGACUAAAAUCCAGAAAUGCUGAAUCCUUUAAAAGUCAAGGAAAGGUUUAUUUAAGGAGGAUGGAAGAAUUAUAUUUGCACAUAGUGAACACAGUUCAUUCUGUGUUAUAUUUGCAAUAGGAAGUAAGUGAAAUUUUGCUUGAGAGAAUUUCCUAGACUAGGGAUUUGAAAGCAACCCUUAGCUCUUUCAGGUUUUUUUGGUGCAAAUUAGAAGUAGCUGCACUGUAAACAGUAGGUUUAUGCUUUCAUGAAGCCAGUGUCAGAACAGAACAAAGCCCUAGAGGAACAGGAACAGAGAGUGAUGUGAAGGAGAGAGGCAACACUGCUGAACCAACUUAUUCUCUUCCUCCCCCAGAUCUUAUCUCUGUAAAACCCAGGUCUCCAACCUCCUUAGACCUCUAUGGCUGUAACAAUACAUGAUUGAAAGUAAGAGAAUUUAUUUCAAAAUUAUGGAAUUCAAACUGCAAAAUUUAUGGAAAUUAAUACUCAGAAUUAGGUUUCCAAAUCCUUAUUCAGAUGCCUAAACAAUGGCAAGUUGCUUGCACCAGGUGUUCCACUUAAAUCAGGGGAAUCAUAUACAUAUCAGAUAUUACUGAGGCAGAAUAAAAAAUCUCAGAAUUUAGCCCUGAAUUUUCUGACUUUGAGAGUUUGAAGGAUCUUUUAGCUUCCUUUGACACUGACGAAAGUUAUUAUCUCAGCUUCUUUGAAAAUUAGGUCACCUAUUUACAGCUGAGAUCCACAUCUGAUUUAUGGCAGCUUAACAAGUCACCAUCUAUCUGCUGAACCACUAUAAUUGUCCGUGAAAUUCUUUUAUUGAAGUUUUUAACAAGUCACAUUCCCUCACAGCUGGGGAGGCCAAGGAGCCCAUGAACAGUUAUUGGCAGAGACUACAGAUCCCUUGACAGGUGUGACUUGGUGAACUGCUUUGAUGAGUGCUUUAUUCUUCACUAGGCACCUAAGAAAGAAUGGAAGAAACUAAAUUUGGAACUGCAUCUUUGCAGAUCUUAUGCUAGAAGCACACUCCUUACCUUAGGUGACAGAAGAGCUGUGCACCAUAGUCUGCUUGGAGUCCCCACUGGUGACCUUACAGAUCUGGUUUUGUUUGUGGGUCUGCAUACCGUCCACGGGAUAUGACAGAACUCUAAGUAGGGAAAAUACAUUGCACUGAGUUUUAUUUGUGUGGAGUUUCAUACCUUAACACAGGACUAAAGUGUGUUGCACAAAUACAAGUAAUACAAUCUGUCUGGGCACACAGACUGGGAUGACUUUGCAUGACAUGUCAUCACUUGUGGGACAGGAUGAGAGGAGAAAAAGCAUUGGUUACAUGAUUCCUUACUCUGUCCAUUGCUGUCCCCUCUAAAAAUGCAAAAAUUGAAAAACCAACAGAGUUUCAAUUCACACUGAACACUGCUCUUGUAAAGCUUUGGAAAGUCAGGUGAGAUUCCUCCACUGGUGAAAUUUCAUCCAGUAAUUUCCUUUACUGCCAGUUUAAGAUCUACUCCCUUGUCUCCUGCAGGGUGAACAGGGAAUUGGUUAGAAAUACAUUGGGUGGAGAGAAAAGGAACUAGAAAUUGCUGUAUCAGUUCUGCCAGUGAAGGCCCUGUAUUGGUAAGCAGUACCUGGAGAAAUAGGAAAUCACUGUGGAGUUCAUGCAUCUCUCACUUUCUGGGUCUGUGCAACAAAGGUCUGGGUCUUACAUCGAUAUAAAUCAGAAGUCCUUGAAAUAGAGUAAGUAUAAAAAAGCAGAGUUGUAGAGGGUGAUGGAUACAGACAGAGCUUGGUGGAAACCACUUCAGAGUUUGGUGAGCAGUGACAGCCCUGAAGACCCUGGCAGGUAGAAGGGCUCACAAUCACCAAGUACUUGUAUAACUCCAGAAAUGGGAUUUCAUAAGCAUCCCAAACUGGGAAUUUUCCCCAUAGCCAACAUUUUUGUAUCCACAAAAGUCUGGCAAGUAGCAAUUUCUUUUUAUGUCCUUGGAGAAGCUGAAACUGGGUUUGAAUGGGAUAAAUAUGGAAAGCCCAUUUCUUCUUUCAACCAAGAGACCUUAGUUUCUACUGGGAGACCCAUGUCCUGAUUGCUGUCAAAGAUCUGUCCUGAGCAGGAGUCACUGAGCCAGAGAGCACUGGUCUGAUGGGAACAUAACACAACUGUGGGAAGGAUAAGUGCAUGCUGUGCACAGAAACUGAGGUGAGCAGAGUCUAUCUGUUAGAGGGGGAGUCUGGUAAUUACAAUGUUAUUAAGUCCUUUCUGCUUGAUCUUUAAAGCAAACCUUCACACACUCAGUUUACAUUUAUUUGCACUGAAAUGGAGCCCGCUACCUCUCCACUCCAGUCACUGACAUACUUUUGUGCACAACACUGAAUCUGCACAAAUUCAAUGUGCCUUUAAUGCAUCUAUUUACAUUUACUGUGAAAAGAAAAAUACUCCAAAACCCAGGCAAGCCAGGCUUUGUAAGCAGAUCAGUAAUUCUAGUGCAAGGUAAAGUGGCUUGUUUCACUGAGUGUGAUAGUUAGACUCCUUCAGAGAUGAUGACUUUAUGUGAAAUGUUCUAGAAAUAUUUCAUGACCAGGUUACUGUACUUUUUUUUUUUACUGCAACAUGUGCAAUUCACUUGAUGUUCUUGUGCACUUUUUUGAUUUUUUUAGUUUUAUUUUGUAUGAAAGUUUUUUCAUUUACUUUCCCCUUCCCAUUAUUUAUAAAAGCUAUUUUGUUUUUAAAAGUUUAAAUCCACACUGUUCUAGUAAAUAGCAGCUCUCAAAUGUUAUGUUUCCAUCUUUCAAACAAUGUAUGAAUAAACAAGUAGAUUCUUAAGGACUAUCAGCUGUUCUGAAUAGCAACAUCAACCAUCGACCAGCCAAACACAAAAAUACCCAGAAAAAUUCUGAAUCAAUCCAAGCUUGAAUAAUUAAUAAUUCCAUUGUUAAUCUCAGGGAUGAGAGAACAGUAAGUAUUGCUAGAGAGGAGACAGAGUUGCUAUUAUUUGCAAACCUUUUGGAAAGUCUCACACAUCCCCAUUCAGGGAUUUUGAAUAUACUUAACAAUUGUCUUCUGUUCAUUUGUGUUUUACUUCACUGCUGCUCCAGUUCAAAGCCCCAGCAAGGGCCACUGCCUGCUUUGGGCUGGGGGGGGAGGUUCCAUAUCACAAAGGAUUUUGAAAAAGUAACAUUAGUUCAAAUCUGAAUGUAGGAGCAUAAAUAUUUGAGUCAGAGGUCAUUUAAAAUGGUCUGUUUCAAUCCUUCAUUAUAACUUUAAAACACACCAUUCUACUACACGGAGAAUGUGGAGCAAUAUACAUUCAAAUAAAAAGGAGUUUUAAAAAAGUAAAAAGAAAACUAGGAAUUUAAUAUUCAAAAUAUAGAAACUUGGUUUUAACUCUCUUCUUCCUCUGGAUUUCUUCAGAAAUAAAAUUUAUACAGAGGCUACCCACUUUGCCAAGUAUUUUAAUUUUUACUAAACUCCUUAUUCUGGUGUGAUCCACAGCACUUAGAAAUUUCCCUAAUGAGCUCAAGGAGGAACACUUAAGCACAGCAACUACUGCAAUACCAGUAGUUCAUUCCAUGAGCUGGUCUGGCCACCCAGAUGGAAAUCCAGACCAAUGCCAAGGAGGCUGCUCUGCAUUGAUAGUACUGAAACAGAGUUCAGCAUCUGGCUGCAUCUGGAUUACUGCAGCAACACAGAGCUACUGAUGUGAGAAAAGCCCCCCAUUUCCAUGUAACAAAAUUCCUUACCUACAGGACUGUAAAUGAAAAGCUGUUGUUCUCCUUCCUUUAACUUCAAUGGCUCUGGCUUCUGUUACACUCCUUUUGGAGAGGGACAGAGUUUCCUCAUGGAUUUUUUCCCAAAAAGGGAAAGGCAUCUAAGUAUGUUCCAAUCUUUACUUCUGGAUAAAGAGCUAACCUGAAGUCUUUGACCCCUAGACUGGCUCUUUAGCUCCUCACACCUUGCAUUUAGUUGCAGGUAUCUGCUACCAAAGACAUUUCCUGCUCUCUCUCCUGCAGUCCAUACUGGCUUGAUACAUAAAUGAAGUGCCAUAGUGGGGAGAAAGCAAUGAAAGCCAUCACUAUUUCUACUGUUUUCCUGCACCACAAACACAUUACAGACAUUGUUUCAAUAAAAGUGAACAUUGGUGAGAUAGGUGAGGUUUAAGGAAAGAGUAAACCACUUUUAGCCUGGGAGUAGAAUCAUAGAAUAUUUUAAGUUGGAAGGGACCCACAAGGAUCAUCAAGUCCAACUCUUAAGUGAAUGGCUCAUCGAGGGAUCAAAUCCACAACCUUGGCAUUAUUAGUACCAGGCUCUAACCAACUGAGCUAAUCCCAGUGGUAGUUCAUAUCCUAAUAAAAGUUGCAACCUGGUUAUAUAAUACCAAGGCCAUUAGAAGAUACAAAAUGAUACUCUACAAUUGCUUCCGAUUAUAAUUUUUUUUUUAUUACUGCAAUGCAGUCAAAUGAAGCAUUUUCUGUUUUUCCCCUUGUAGAGAUGUCAGGAGUCAUGGAGAGCUAUGCUAGUCACAGACCAAACCAAACAAGGCCACUUUUUAUUGAGUCCUGGGAGAAGUUCCCAUUAGCUUCAGCAACAGCAGAUUCAGGCCCUGGGAGAUCAUGGGUGUCCAUUCUUUGGUCUUUUUUUGUCCCAAAAUAAACUUUUCUUGACUUCAGUGAUUUACUCCAGUAUAACCAAAUAGACACAUACACCUGCAGUGUUAAACCUCUCAUAUCUCAUUUCUGUGUCUUAGUACCACUUUCUCCAUGGAUUUAAGAGAAACCUAACUUAAAAACACUUCCUAAUAAAUUCUCCAAAUCCAAUUUGUUUAAAAAAAUUAGGAAAAUGCUAGGCGAAACAUUUACAGCCAGGUCUUGGGAAAACAUCUUAAAAUCAGGGGGCAAAAAAGAUAUCUCUCAGCCAGAAAUUAAGGCAGUCUAUUCUUUACUUUUUUCUUCCAUCACACCUAAUGGUUUUGUGUUAAACUAAUAAAAUUCCUCAUUUAUUCUGUUGAUGCAGAGCAAUUCCUGAUGUGGAAAUUCAUCCCGCUUUCAUUUCACCAGCUUAGCACUAGCUAAUUACUUAGUAAUUAGCUAAGAUUUACUUAUGGGAAAAUUACUUCUGAUUUGUAUAAAUCUGAACAGGCAGAGAUUUCAGCCCUCAUAUCUCCCCACCAGUUGCAAAUCAAACCCGUGUCUACCCAGUGGGGUACUAAGAUUCGGCAUUUGCAGAAUCACCAAAAUAAAAUUACCUUCUUUCUUCCCUUAUUUUUUUCUUUUAAUUCUGUCAGUAUUUACAUACAACAAGAGCUUGAAUCAAUCACAAGUGGUUUUAUAUCAAAUUCCACCCUUUCAGUCUCUUGCAUGUAAAACGAAAUGACCUGAAUAUCUUGACUUCUCUGGAAUUACUUUAAAAUACAAAAACUCUUUGAAUGCAUUUAAUUCAUUCCAUUUCACUGCUGCUGCCGCAGGGCAGACCGAGAGAAGAUGUUCCCACGUGGAGGAGGUCUCCUAGGUGUUACAAACGCGGCUAGGAAUGGCCCGCAGCCCCGCUCGCCGCGGCUCAGACAAUGCCCAUCCAUGAAAGAGACCUGGUCAUGCUCCGUGCCACCGGCUUGGCAAGGUUUAUUCCCGAUUCACCCCCGUGUACGGAGAGGAGAGCGCAGCCCAAGUACCUUCCCGGCAGUUCCUAAUUCCCUGCGGCCCGCCCACGAGGCACAGGGUGCGAUGGCCGGCCUCCUUCCCCUGCGGCUCGGCGCUGCCAGCAACUCAUGCCCGGAGGCUGGCCGGGCGUUCCGAACCCCCCUCGGGAGCUGUCGUGUUCGGCAUGACUCCGACUCCCGCCCCGCUAAAGGAGAGCCAAGAACCUGAGGGGAGGUGGUGAUGAUUCAUGGUGAAACCAGAAGUACUGGCCUGGAGAGGAGCAAUGUUGGGAUGGAGGAAGACCACUAAACCUCUACCUUUGGAAUCCUGAUUUUAGAUUGCAUGUUGACAGUGACUGAAGUGGAAAGACAUUAAUGAUGCACUGAUGGCAUAAAAAUGGAAGAUGUUAUUUAACAUCACACUGCAAUAAUUGGGUGACCUUAAAGGUGAAUGCAGUGGGAGAGGAAAAGAUUGCAGUAACUCUGAGCCACACAGCUCAGGAACUGAUAGCAGGAAUUUCUGUCAUGAGGAAAAAUAUCAUUGUCUGUAAAUGAGAAGGGAAAUCAGGUCAUAGGAUAAAAAUGAAUUUUCCUUCAUCUAGUCUGACCUUCAAAGUGUGUGGAAGGGAGAGGGAUGAGGGAGAAAGGUGGUGUGGUGCUGAUGGCACUCAGGAUCUCAAACUGGCUAAGAGCCUGGCCCCAGCCUGGAAUGGAAGCUUGUCCAUUCCAGGACCUGCAGGCUCAUUUGAAAGUGAUGUCUGACAGUGUGUGACUGCAAAGGGGCGCAGCCAAAGGCCUUAGCAUUCCUUCCUGCACCCAGCAUGCAGGCCUGCAGACAGCAGCAGGGACAUCUCUCCCUGGCACUGACACUCACACAGCCUGGUGCUGCCCCAGAGCUGAGUCCUCUAAGCUCAGGGAAAAAGAAUAUGGGAUUUCUUCCCAUUCUUGUGCUAUCCACUUGUUCCCUUUCCUCACCCUCCACACCUUCUUGUUGAAACUAACACCUCUGCUCCCGAGAGAACAGCAGCCUGGCACUCCAGCGGAUGAAGCUUUGACUCUUUCCCCACCCUCCUUUUUUUUUCCCCUCUUGACAGUCUGCUUUGACCUGAGUGACAUCCUCUCUUUGCUUUCAGUCCCUGAUUUUCUGCACUUGGGGACAGACUUUGAGCAGGCAGUAAGUGUUGAGGGCGUGCAGACAGCACGGGGGGGCUGCUGUGCCCCAGAGCCUGCCAUUCAGGCAGAUGGUGGAGGGGGCUGAUGUGAAUAGCUCCUGUCAGUCUCACAGAGAGAACUUUACAAUUGUGCUACGUGUUGGACUGCAUGUGACUAAUGCCAUUCUUCUGCAGGCUGCAGGCAGGACACAGCUGUUUCUUUAAGGAGAAUUUUGUUUUUCUGGGCAGAAAAAGAAGCACCCAUGACAAUAUUGUAACCAUGUAUCCAAUAUUAUGCUCCAUAAUUAGGUGUGAUCAAAGCCCAUCCUGCCUUUCUCUGUCUCGCUUUCUGGUAAAUAAGAUAAUGCUUUUUUAAAAAGCGUGGCCUUGGUUUGGUCCUUCUGAAGGUUUAAAUUCUGUCCCCCCACAUGGCAGGUAUGCACUGAAAAAAAGCAACAGGGCCAAAUAUAGGUUUCUUUACAUAAUUCUGGAAUAAAUAAGUAUUUCAAGAGCAGGAUGAACUCUGUGACAAAUGGUACAGGGUGUGUCUGUUGAGGAGAAACAAUACUGCAAAAAUAAUUUUGAAAAUACAGACAUUAAUAUGAACAUAUGAAAGGGUGGCGACUUUCUCUUAAAAGCUGCAAAAUGAGAAACGCACAAUGGCUCUGGACAGGGAAAGAGAGUGCAUGGUACAGAAGAGCCAUGCCAGACCAGAAGGGUAGUGUGUUCCUCCUGCCCACAUUUUGGCCAGGCUCACAGCCCUGCUCCCUGCUCCCCUCUCUUUGGCAAGGCUUCUCCCCGUGGGUGUUUCUGCACUGAAAUCCGUGCUGGGCUCCUCAGCCCAGCAGCACACUCCUGACACUCCUGCACCUCCAUUCUCUUACCACAGGGCAUGGCUCUGUACCACAGCCCAGCUGGGGCUGCACUUGCACUUGGACAAGGUGCAGGCAGCCCCAGGCAGUGCUGCCCUGAGCUGGCCCCCAUGUCAGGGUGACCAUGACGCUUCAGGCAGGCAGUGAUCUAUCUAGCAAGGCACAGUGUGUGGUUCUACCCCUAACAAUUCCUUCUGGCUGCCUCCCUUGUUGUAUUUCCAGACAUGGUGUCUGCCCCUAGCGCUGGUGAAUCACCCCUUGGAGUGUGGAGCAGGCAAGAGCCUUGGUUUGGCUGGUGUGUGAGCAUCACCCACAGAUGUGUGCAGGAACUGGCUCAGCACAGGGGGAGUUCAGAGAGGAUGAGCUUUGCUUAAAGCACUUGGACCAUCCCCUCUAAAGGGUGAGCCAGGAGGUGCCUGAGCAAAAGGGUGUCUUUGAUCUCUUUCUUCUCCUUCCGUUAAAGAGCCACUGAGGCUGUAACAAGCUGCAUUUCUGUGGCAUAGCAGUCCCAGCUCAGACAUUGUGCAACACAGAUUGACCUUGGACCCACACUUGUUUGAGGUAUUUCAUACAUAGGAUUGAUAGAGACAAUAAAAGCUAAUACUAGCUACUAUUUUAGUUUCUCUUUGUUGAGAAACAGUUAGAAAUAACUGGUCAUUAUUGUCAAACCAAAAAAAAUUCCUUCCAUACCUAUAAUGCCAGAAAUAGCUGAUGAACAACAACCCUCUUCUUGGACCUGAUCUUCAAAUUUUCUUGGUGGUUUGCAGUACAAAAGCUGUGAGGGAGCUCUUGCAGUCCCAAGUGUCCUACUGGAGGGAUGCUAAGAUAAAGACUCAGUAUCCACCCUAGCUGGGCUGAACUAUCCAUGCAGAAGGCUUAGACAAAACUCUACAGAUUUCUAAAUCUUCUCUACACUUCCUGUUGUCUUGAUUGGUAACUUUAGCACUAUUCAUGGUUUGGGGAAUUCAGCCACCUUUGCAGUAGGCAGCUGUUGCACAAGGAAGUAGAACCAGCAUGUGCCAUGUUCAGUGUCUUCCCUCCAUCCCAGUUUUGGAAGUGUCCUUCUCUAAAACUGAUCUUAUGCUUCAAAGGAAUAUGUGAAGGUGACAAGGGCUGCAGCUGUUACUGAGGGUCCCUGUGGGAGCCCCUAGAAUGGUCUACAGGAGGUGAGUGCCAGCAAAUGAGAAGUGCCAAGUGCACACUGCACCCGAUGAGCAACCUGGACACAAGGAUCUUUUCAGGGCCUGCUGUUCUGCAGGUUAGGUAGAUGGAGAAACUUCCACAGAAAAGACAAUAAUCAUCAUAGAGACUGAAGAACCAGACACUUCUCUGCAGUGCCAGCUGCUGCCACCCUCACUGCCCUCAUGGUCUCAAGUGCGCACUCUUGAGCUGAGCACCGAGGCUAACUGGGUAUGUCAGGUCUGCCUCUCAGAGUGGUGCAUUUGAUUCCUAGGCUCUGUUGACCCAGGUAGGUGGCCAUCGCCUGUGGGAAACGCCGGGAACAGCCCGGCCGCCCGUGCGCCCUUCCCGGGGAUGGC